AUGUUUGCCAGGGCACAGACCAGUCCAUGUGGCUUUGAGCUGCGCUCUGUGCUGGUUCCAGCUUCUCCUGGGGUCGCCCACACUCUGGCCACCCCGGGAGCCCUGGACGACGCAGCCAGCACCUCCUGUGGCCGCGGGAGAGCCGAGGUGGCGCUGGGGUCCCACCACCUCGGUGAUUGGGGGGCUGGACACCCCGGGGCUUCACACCUGCUGGCGGGGAGAGAAACGCGAGGCGCCUAUCGGCCCGGGGUGGCCCGCGCGCAGGGUGGCCGCCGAGGCCGCGUCCUGGGGACCCGGCUGGCCUGCAGCGCGCACGGCCCAGCGGCGGCGGCUUCCCGGAGCCUCUGUGCGCGUCUCGGCGGGCAGGCAGCAGGCGUGGGUUCCCUCGGUGCCCGCGGGGCGGGCCGGGCGCCCCCUGAGGCUGCACGCGGAGCCCGCCGGCCUAGGAUGGAGGCGCAGUCGCCCGGCCCCGAGUCCGCCCCGCGAGGCGCCGCGCGGAGUCUCAGUGAAGGCAGCGUCGUCAGCGCCACUCCCCCGAUGUCCCAGGGCUCCGAAGCCGCGGCGGGCGGGCCCGGAGACCAGGGCCGAGCGCCCCGGUGCCCCUCGGCGGAGCGCGGGGCCCGGGCGCGCUACCCCCGUCCCCCGCCCCGCGCGGCGUCCCCAGCACCUUGGAGGCCGGCCCUGCAGUCCUGGAGGGGCCUUCCCUGUCCUCCGCGCCCCGGCUCUGAGACCCCCACCCAGGACUGGGGAGGCGCAGGAGCUCUCUGCACACGCGCGCGCGUGCACACACACACACACACACACACACACACACACACACACAGGCGCGCGCGCAGGCCGUUGCUAUGGAGAGGCCGGUUACCAGCGAGGCUGAGGGCGACAGGUCCCCUCCUCCGGGCCUCCCUUCCCUGCCUGCGGCCCCCCUCCGCCGACCUCCACCCUCGCCCCGCCGGAGCUUCCGGGGCCCCUCCCACCUCCUCCGCGGCCCCUGCCUGCAACCCCUCCGCUCCUCCUUCCCUUCCCAGGGCCGAGCCAGGGGUCGCCCCGGAGGCUGGAGAAGUGCGUGGAGGCCUGGGGCCCUCGGGUGCGCCCCAGCCCGGAGGAGGGCAGCGAGGAGAGACGGGAGCCACCGCUACUCGGGUCUUUGCCCAGGGCGCAGUGCCGGGGCACAGGUCUCGGGAUUGGACCACCGGGAGGCCCAGCGGAGGUGGGGGGGUGUGGCAGGCUGAGACCCGAGACCCGAGGGCAUUUGCUGGGGGUCUGCAGGCCUUGCCCUGGCUCGAGGCUGCGGAAGCCGGGGCCUCCCGGCACCUCCCACCCUACUGGAUGUGUGAGGCGGUUGGGGUGCACUGUGGGUGGGGAAUCCAGGAGAAGCCCAAGUCUGCCCAUUCGUCCUCCCCUGGACCUCAUUCUAGAAGCCUGGGCCACCCUGCCCUGCGACCAGCGAGGCGACAGGGGCCUGCAGGGGCUGGGGUGGACGCGCCACCUCUUAGCCCAGUCCCUCUCUGA
RNAcentral lists this long non-coding RNA (1509 nucleotides) under Canis lupus familiaris (dog). Its description in RNAcentral is "lncRNA (ENSCAFG00040014072.1)". Lineage: Eukaryota; Metazoa; Chordata; Mammalia; Carnivora; Canidae. The record is from RNAcentral.